CAAGGAGCUGUGCAACUCCAUUCCCCCUUCAACGAAGGAAUUAUUGCCCAACCCUGAAGAUGGUAGCCAACCAAGAAUUUCCUACAUUCAGUUCCUUUGGGCCAGGCUCAGUUGCAGGGAGGAAACGUCACUGAGGUUGUGCAUUCACAACCCAUGCAAUAGAAAUCUCAGCUGGAGAAAAGCACAGUGAUCAUGGUUCAGGGAUUUCAGAGACGAGUGUUUGCUUCAUACCAUCAGAAAAAGAGGCCUGCAGCAAUCCUGGAGAGGCUGUCACUCUAAUGUUUAUGGAAAAGUCAGUAGAAGCAGC
This 307-nucleotide long non-coding RNA is filed under the name Homo sapiens (human). RNAcentral describes it as "HSALNT0319448". Lineage: Eukaryota; Metazoa; Chordata; Mammalia; Primates; Hominidae. The record is from RNAcentral.